AUUUGCGUGUAAGGACUCCAAGAAACUAUGCUGAGAAUCUACAUGAACAGAUUACUCACAGUUCGCGCGCGCGGACACAAAGCAAUUGUGCUAACAAUUCUGCAAAUGAUCAGAAUGGCCAAGAUCGUAACAGCCAAUUCACUGGAGAUUUCUUACAUGACAAUGAAGAUUUGCAAAGGAGUUCACAAAAGAAGAGCAAAGGAAGGGGUAUAACUAGAAUGGAUGAAAUAUUUGCAAGGACACCUAACAUGCCAAAGAUCAAAAUAACACUCAAUCAAUAUGGCCAGCCUGUAGGAAAGAAUUCAAGGAAGUUUUCUAGAGUCCUUGGUUGUCAAGUGAGAAGGAAAAUAUCAGUUGGGUGUUCUGAUUGGAGGCUUGUUAAACCUGAGAAGAAGUAUGAAGUAUGGACUGAUAUAAAGGCAAUCUAUGAUAUCGACGAUGCUGCUUUUGAUUGGUUUAUGAGUACUUGUG
This is a long non-coding RNA of Panicum virgatum (switchgrass), 471 nucleotides long. RefSeq lists it as uncharacterized. The transcript has 3 exons. Lineage: Eukaryota; Viridiplantae; Streptophyta; Magnoliopsida; Poales; Poaceae. The record is from RefSeq and is a predicted model, not a curated record.